GAUGAACGCUGGCGGCGUGCCUAAUACAUGCCAGUCGAGCGAACAGACGAGGAGCUUGCUCCUCUGACGUUAGCGGCGGACGGGUGAGUAACACGUGGAUAACCUACCUAUAAGACUGGGAUAACUUCGGGAAACCGGAGCUAAUACCGGAUAAUAUAUUGAACCGCAUGGUUCAAUAGUGAAAGACGGUUUUGCUGUCACUUAUAGAUGGAUCCGCGCCGCAUUAGCUAGUUGGUAAGGUAACGGCUUACCAAGGCAACGAGGCGUAGCCGACCUGAGAGGGUGAUCGGCCACACGGGAGCUGAGACACGCACCAGACUCCUACGGGAGGCAGCAGUAGGGAAUCUGCCGCAAUGGGCGAAAGCUUGACGGAGCAACGCCGCGUGAGUGAUGAAGGUCUUCGGAUCGUAAAACUCUGUUAUUAGGUAAGAACAAAUGUGUAAGUAACUAUGCACGUCUUGACGGUACCUAAUCAGAAAGCCACGGCUAACUACGUG
This 497-nucleotide ribosomal RNA is filed under the name uncultured bacterium. RNAcentral describes it as "partial 16S ribosomal RNA". It matches the Rfam family "Bacterial small subunit ribosomal RNA", at positions 28 to 507 of the family's 1533-position model. The record is from RNAcentral.